GACUCCGUUGCUCUUUUCGGGUCUCUUUGUAGAGGAUUGUGAAUCGAAGCACGGCCAUCUUUUUGUAUUUGCAUGAGCUUUUUCGGUGCAAAAGGACAGUGUGUCUUCAUGGUGAGUUUCUGUGGGGCGGCUGGUGGGAUUUCGAUAACGGGUCGGAGCAUCGGAGCAGUUCCAUACAGAGACCGCGGCACGUCACAGACCUUUCCCUCAGCGGGGAUCCAAUCAGACUGCCAUGGGACGCCCGACGCCACUCGGGUGCAAACUGGCAGUCCGUUGGGGGCGUCCACAUGGAGUCUUUCAGAGACAAUAUUAUUGAGCUUUUCUCUACAGGUUUAGAUCAAUCUGCCCCUUUUAACGGCACACGCAGCAGAGCGGCGUUCACAAAACACACACCUGCGGGGGAAAUGUUCAAUGCUCAGACUUACUGGAGUUCUGGAGUUGUGUUUCAUUGAAGUAUCAAAGAUGUUUCCCUUGAAAUUCUAUCGUGGGGAAAACACAAAUAGUUGGCAUACAGUAAAAACAACUGGAAGAAUUUGAUGGGAGAAACAACUGAGGUCUCACAGAACCAGGAAGAAGCAGUUCCUCAUCCUGAAGUCAGGACAAAAGCGGUGCUGAUGGCUGUAGUGGAGGCUCUUCAUUUGGACGUAAUCAGGAGAGAGUGUGCGGAGAUGAAAGAUCAUCAGGGAGAACACACAUUUACAAAUGAACACCAUUACUCUCUUCACAUUCAAUAAUCUCACAGCUUACCACCUAAUUACGCCUAUGAAGAGCUGAACUUUUCAUGUUUUCGCUACAAAGUUCAUCAUGCUAACGAGAGGCGUUUCAUCUCUGUAAUGCAUGAUGUCGCUGAUGACCGGCGGAUCGAGAGCUGUUCACCAGGACUACACCAUCAGAAACCAUCAGAAUCACGAUUCACC
Molecule: long non-coding RNA, 917 nt
Organism: Cyprinus carpio carpio
Lineage: Eukaryota; Metazoa; Chordata; Actinopteri; Cypriniformes; Cyprinidae
Source: Ensembl